GACGAGCGCUGGCGGCGUGCUUAACACAUGCAAGUCGAACGGAAAGGCCCUGCUUUUGUGGGGUGCUCGGGUGGCGAACGGGUGAGUAACACGUGAGUAACCUGCCCUUGACUUUGGGAUAACUUCAGGAAACUGGGGCUAAUACCGGAUAGGAGCUCCUGCUGCAUGGUGGGGGUUGGAAAGUUUCGGCGGUUGGGGAUGGACUCGCGGCUUAUCAGCUUGUUGGUGGGGUAGUGGCUUACCAAGGCUUUGACGGGUAGCCGGCCUGAGAGGGUGACCGGCCACAUUGGGACUGAGAUACGGCCCAGACUCCUACGGGAGGCAGCAGUGGGGAAUAUUGCACAAUGGGCGGAAGCCUGAUGCAGCAACGCCGCGUGCGGGAUGACGGCCUUCGGGUUGUAAACCGCUUUCGCCUGUGACGAAGCGUGAGUGACGGUAAUGGGUAAAGAAGCACCGGCUAACUACGUG
This 468-nucleotide ribosomal RNA is filed under the name uncultured bacterium. RNAcentral describes it as "partial 16S ribosomal RNA". It matches the Rfam family "Bacterial small subunit ribosomal RNA", at positions 28 to 507 of the family's 1533-position model. The record is from RNAcentral.